Molecule: non-coding RNA, 1343 nt
Filed under: Amazona aestiva (blue-fronted amazon)
Lineage: Eukaryota; Metazoa; Chordata; Aves; Psittaciformes; Psittacidae
Description: Bacterial large subunit ribosomal RNA
Rfam family: Bacterial large subunit ribosomal RNA
Source: Rfam by way of RNAcentral
GGGAAAGAUGACAUANCAAUGAAAACCAAGCACCACACAGCAAAGAUACACACAGCAAAGAUAAACCCUUGAACCUUUUGCAUCAUGAUCUAGNAAGGACAACCAGACAAAGCAAACUUAAGCCUGCCAUCCUGAAACCCAAGCAAGCUACUCACAAGCAGCUACCCUGAGCUAACCCAUCUCUCUUGCAAAAGAGUGGGAUGACUUGUUAGUAGAGGUGAAAAGCCAACCAAGCUGGGUGAUAGCUGGUCACCUGCAAAACUAAUGCAAGUUCCCCCUUAGCCCCCUUCCCCCUAGACAAACCAGCCUAACCCCCAUGUAAUGGACUGACAGCUAUUUGAAGGGAUACAGCCCCUUUAAAAAAGGACACAACCUCUGCUAGCGGAUAACCCCACCCCACCUCACACCCACGGGCCUUAAAGCAGCCACCCCUAAAGAAUGCGUCAAAGCUCCUCAAACAAAAAAUUCCAAAACCAACGCUACUCCCUACACUCCUAGCAGGCCAACCUGUAACAAUAGAUGAGUGAANGCUAGAAUGAGUAACCAGGAUNCAUCCCCUUAAGCUCCAACCUACACACCAUUAACAGCACAACCACAAUACAAAGCCCUCCNCUCAAUCAAACAUUGAAUACAUCUUGUCAACCCAAACCAGGAGUGCACACUAGGANGAUUAAAAUCUGCAAAAGGAACUUGGNAAACUCAAGGUCCAACUGUUUACCAAAAACAUAGCCUUCAGCCAAACAAGUAUUGAAGGUUAUGCCUGCCCAGUGACACCACACUUAACGGCCACGGUAUCCUAACCAUGCAAAGGUAGCGCAAUCAAUUGUCCCAUAAAUCAAGACUUGUAUGAGUGGCUCAACAAGGUCUUACCUGUCUCCUGCANACAAUCAGUGAAACUGAUCUCCCCGUGCAAAAGCAGGGAUAAUCACAUAAGACGAGAAGNCCCUGUNGAAAUUUAAAGUCAAUAGCCACCACACACACCCAACUCAAAACCCACNGGGCCUACUANCCAAAACACUGGCAAAUAUUUUUAGGUUGGGGUGACCUUAGAGAAAAACAAAUCCUCCAAAAACACGGCCAAACCCCUUAACCACNAGUAACCCUCAACAUGCCAACAGUACCCAGACCCAACAAAAUUUACCGAUGAACCAAGAUACCCCAGGGAUAACAGNGCAACCUCCCCCAAGAGAGAGGAGGCUUACAACCUCAGUGUUGAAUCAGGACAUCCUAGUGGUGCAGCCACUACUAAGGGCUCAUUUUUUCAACAAUGAACAGUCCUACGUGAUCUGAGUUCAGACUGGAGUAAUCCAGGUCGCUUUCUAUCUAUGNCUAACCUUCCCCAG